This 380-nucleotide ribosomal RNA is filed under the name uncultured eukaryote. Its description in RNAcentral is "SSU rRNA". It matches the Rfam family "Eukaryotic small subunit ribosomal RNA", at positions 587 to 972 of the family's 1831-position model. The record is from RNAcentral.
AGCUCUGUAAGCGUAUACCAAAGUUGUUGCAGUUAAAACGCUCGUAGUCGGACAUUGGCAGGUGCUGUGCGUAAGUUUCACGAUUUUCGCGCGGUGCCGGCCUUUGUGUGGAAUCGGGGCCGCUUUUGUUGCUUUACUGCAUCGGAGCGGAACCGCCACCGUUUACUGUGAAAAAAUUAGAGUGUUCAAAGCGGGCGUUUGCCAUGAAUACAUUAGCAUGGAAUAAUAGAAUAGGACCUGGUCCUGUUUUAUUGGUUUGUAAGUAUCAGGUAAUGAUUAAGAGGGACGGUUGGGGGCAUUUGUAUUCCGGCGUCAGAGGUGAAAUUCUUGGAUUGCCGGAAGACAAACAGCUGCGAAAGCGUCUGCCAAGGACGUUUUCA